Molecule: ribosomal RNA, 946 nt
Filed under: Hexagonia tenuis
Lineage: Eukaryota; Fungi; Basidiomycota; Agaricomycetes; Polyporales; Polyporaceae
Description: eukaryotic LSU rRNA
Rfam family: Eukaryotic large subunit ribosomal RNA
Source: RNAcentral
AACUUAAGCAUAUCAAUAAGCGGAGGAAAAGAAACUAACAAGGAUUCCCCUAGUAACUGCGAGUGAAGCGGGAAAAGCUCAAAUUUAAAAUCUGGCGGUCUUUGGCCGUCCGAGUUGUAGUCUGGAGAAGUGCUUUCCGCGCUGGACCGUGUAUAAGUCUCUUGGAACAGAGCGUCAUAGAGGGUGAGAAUCCCGUCUUUGACACGGACUACCAGUGCUUUGUGAUGCGCUCUCAAAGAGUCGAGUUGUUUGGGAAUGCAGCUCAAAAUGGGUGGUAAAUUCCAUCUAAAGCUAAAUAUUGGCGAGAGACCGAUAGCGAACAAGUACCGUGAGGGAAAGAUGAAAAGCACUUUGGAAAGAGAGUUAAACAGUACGUGAAAUUGCUGAAAGGGAAACGCUUGAAGUCAGUCGCGUCUGCCGGAACUCAGCCUUGCUUUCGCUUGGUGCACUUUCCGGUUGACGGGCCAGCAUCGAUUUUGACCGACGGAAAAGGGCUAGGGAAAUGUGGCACCCUCGGGUGUGUUAUAGUCUCUGGUCGCAUACGCCGGUUGGGAUCGAGGAUCGCAGCGCGCCGCAAGGCAGGGGUUCGCCCACUUUCGCGCUUAGGAUGCUGGCAUAAUGGCUUUAAACGACCCGUCUUGAAACACGGACCAAGGAGUCUAACAUGCCUGCGAGUGUUUGGGUGGAAAACCCGAGCGCGUAAUGAAAGUGAAAGUUGAGACCUCUGUCGUGGAGGGCAUCGACGCCCGGACCUGACGUUCUCUGACGGAUCCGCGGUAGAGCAUGUAUGUUGGGACCCGAAAGAUGGUGAACUAUGCCUGAAUAGGGUGAAGCCAGAGGAAACUCUGGUGGAGGCUCGUAGCGAUUCUGACGUGCAAAUCGAUCGUCAAAUUUGGGUAUAGGGGCGAAAGACUAAUCGAACCAUCUAGUAGCUGGUUCCUGCCGA